AUGUUGAAGAGAAAGCAAUUCUCCAUUCGUCUGAGUUUUGCUGUGACCAUAAACAAAGCCCACGGGCAAACCAUCCCAACUGUUGGCAUAUACCUUCCGCAGCCUGUAUUCUUGCACGGCCAGCUUUAUGUUGCACUGUCAAAGGGGUGUUCCAAGGCAUACAACUCGGGUUCUGGAAAAGCCAAAUAA
This 189-nucleotide ribosomal RNA is filed under the name Triticum aestivum (bread wheat). Its description in RNAcentral is "partial small subunit ribosomal RNA". Lineage: Eukaryota; Viridiplantae; Streptophyta; Magnoliopsida; Poales; Poaceae. The record is from RNAcentral.